CAGGUGCUGCACGGCUGUCGUCAGCUCGUGUCGUGAGAUGUUGGGUUAAGGUCCCGCAACGAGCGCAACCCUCGUCGUUAGUUGCUAACAGUUUGGCUGAGCACUCUAACGAGACUGCCUUCGUAAGGAGGAGGAAGGUGAGGACGACGUCAAGUCAUCAUGGCCCUUACGGCCAGGGCUACACACGUGCUACAAUGGGGCGUACAAAGAGCUGCAAUACCGCGAGGUGGAGCCAAUCUCUUAAAGCGUCUCUCAGUUCGGAUUGUUCUCUGCAACUCGAGAACAUGAAGCUGGAAUCACUAGUAAUCGUAGAUCAGCUAUGCUACGGUGAAUACGUUCCCGGGUCUU
This 348-nucleotide ribosomal RNA is filed under the name uncultured Sulfuricurvum sp. Its description in RNAcentral is "bacterial SSU rRNA". It matches the Rfam family "Bacterial small subunit ribosomal RNA", at positions 1035 to 1382 of the family's 1533-position model. The record is from RNAcentral. Lineage: Bacteria; Pseudomonadati; Campylobacterota; Epsilonproteobacteria; Campylobacterales; Sulfurimonadaceae.